This 468-nucleotide ribosomal RNA is filed under the name uncultured bacterium. RNAcentral describes it as "partial 16S ribosomal RNA". It matches the Rfam family "Bacterial small subunit ribosomal RNA", at positions 29 to 507 of the family's 1533-position model. The record is from RNAcentral.
UACGCACGCUGGCGGCGUGCUUAACACAUGCAAGUCGAACGGAAAGGCCCUGCUUUUGUGGGGUGCUCGAGUGGCGAACGGGUGAGUAACACGUGAGUAACCUGCCCUUGACUUUGGGAUAACUUCAGGAAACUGGGGCUAAUACCGGAUAGGAGCUCCUGCUGCAUGGUGGGGGUUGGAAAGUUUCGGCGGUUGGGGAUGGACUCGCGGCUUAUCAGCUUGUUGGUGGGGUAGUGGCUUACCAAGGCUUUGACGGGUAGCCGGCCUGAGAGGGUGACCGGCCACAUUGGGACUGAGAUACGGCCCAGACUCCUACGGGAGGCAGCAGUGGGGAAUAUUGCUCAAUGGGCGGAAGCCUGAUGCAGCAACGCCGCGUGCGGGAUGACGGCCUUCGGUUUGUAAACCGCUUUCGCCUGUGACGAAGCGUGAGUGACGGUAAUGGGUAAAGAAGCACCGGCUAACUACGUG